GGCCGCGUGGUUGCUGGCUUGCGGUGUGGAUUGAAAAUCCGCGUGUCGGUGGUUCGAUUCCGUCCCAGGCCACCA
This 75-nucleotide transfer RNA is filed under the name Variovorax boronicumulans. RNAcentral describes it as "tRNA-Phe". The record is from RNAcentral. Lineage: Bacteria; Pseudomonadati; Pseudomonadota; Betaproteobacteria; Burkholderiales; Comamonadaceae.